GGAAUCUUGCGCAAUGGGCGAAAGCCUGACGCAGCGACGCCGCGUGGGGGAGGAAGGUUUUCGGAUCGUAAACCCCUGUUGCCCGGGACGAAUCCCUUGCUUUGGCAAGGUUGACGGUACCGGGGGAGGAAGCACCGGCUAACUCCGUUCCAGCAGCCGCGGUAAUACGGAGGGUGCGAGCGUUGUCCGGAAUCACUGGGCGUAAAGGGCGCGUAGGUGGCACGGCAAGCGUGUGGUGAAAGCUCGGGGCUCAACCCCGAGUCGGCCAUGCGAACUGCCGAGCUCGAGCACUGUAGAGGCAGACGGAAUUCCGGGUGUAGCGGUGGAAUGCGUAGAGAUCCGGAAGAACACCGGUGGCGAAGGCGGUCUGCUGGGCAGUUGCUGACACUGAGGCGCGACAGCGUGGGGAGCAAAC
Molecule: ribosomal RNA, 415 nt
Filed under: uncultured bacterium
Lineage: Bacteria
Description: bacterial SSU rRNA
Rfam family: Bacterial small subunit ribosomal RNA
Source: RNAcentral